GACGAACGCUGGCGGCGUGCUUAACACAUGCAAGUCGAACGGAAAGGCCCUGCUUGCAGGGUGCUCGAGUGGCGAACGGGUGAGUAACACGUGGGUGAUCUGCCCCUUACUUUGGGAUAAGCCUGGGAAACUGGGUCUAAUACUGGAUAGGACCAUGCUGUAGGUGGUGUGGUGGAAAGAUUAGUUUCGGUAAGGGAUGAGCUCGCGGCCUAUCAGCUUGUUGGUGGGGUAAUGGCCUACCAAGGCGUCGACGGGUAGCCGGCCUGAGAGGGUGGACGGCUACAUUGGGACUGAGAUACGGCCCAGACUCCUACGGGAGGCAGCAGUGGGGAAUAUUGCACAAUGGGCACAAGCCUGAUGCAGCGACGCCGCGUGGGGGAUGACGGCCUUCGGGUUGUAAACUCCUUUCAGCCAUGACGAAGCCCUUGUGGUGACGGUAGUGGUAGAAGAAGCACCGGCUAACUACGUG
Molecule: ribosomal RNA, 469 nt
Filed under: uncultured bacterium
Lineage: Bacteria
Description: partial 16S ribosomal RNA
Rfam family: Bacterial small subunit ribosomal RNA
Source: RNAcentral